Non-coding RNA from Notechis scutatus (mainland tiger snake), 483 nucleotides. The record is from RefSeq and is a predicted model, not a curated record. NCBI's taxonomy places the organism in Eukaryota, Metazoa, Chordata, Lepidosauria, Squamata, Elapidae.
UUACCAACCAUAGAGGUCUAGUUAUACAAUUCAUUAAACCAAAACCAAGCAAGCCGUAUUAUGGCUUAAUAAGGUGAUUCAAACACAGUCAUUCAAUAGAGUACAAAUUCUCAGAAAUAACUCUGCAAGCAAUAAAAUGUUUCUUUUUCUUUCUUUUUUGGAGAUCUGUACACAUUUAUGCAAGUGUUUUACUUUAUUUUUAAAGGAUACUGAAGAAAAAAUAAUGCAAGAUAUAGCCAACAUCUUAACAGGUGAUUUUAUACCCAACUUUGAGAACUUUGCACCAGAUUUACAGGAGAAUGUGGAACUGAUAAAAGAAUUAAGAGUGCAAUUUCAACAGGAAUGGAAAUUGCUUCAGUGUGCAGCAAAGAACUUCAAAGAUGAAAAGUAAUCUUGAUUUCAAUAAUCUCUUUUCUUCCACAUGAAAACAAAACAAAAGAUCAGAACAACAUAUGCUUUAUGAAUAAAAGGGCACAAAAUAUU